This 510-nucleotide ribosomal RNA is filed under the name Burkholderia multivorans. RNAcentral describes it as "bacterial LSU rRNA". It matches the Rfam family "Bacterial large subunit ribosomal RNA", at positions 1 to 502 of the family's 2925-position model. The record is from RNAcentral. Lineage: Bacteria; Pseudomonadati; Pseudomonadota; Betaproteobacteria; Burkholderiales; Burkholderiaceae.
AUAGAUUAAGUUAUUAAGGGCGCACGGUGGAUGCCUUGGCACUAGAAGCCGAAGAAGGACGUUACUAACGACGAUAUGCUUUGGGUAGCUGUAAGUAAGCGUUAAUCCAGAGAUUUCCGAAUGGGGACCCCAACAUGAGUUAUGUCAUGUUAUCGACAUGUGAAAUCAUAGCAUGUCAGAAGGCAGACCCGGAGAACUGAAACAUCUUAGUACCCGGAGGAAGAGAAAGAAAAAUCGAUUCCCUGAGUAGCGGCGAGCGAAACGGGAAGAGCCCAAACCAACAAGCUUGCUUGUUGGGGUUGUAGGACACUCUAUACGGAGUUACAAAAGAACAUGUUAGACGAAUCAUCUGGAAAGAUGAAUCAAAGAAGGUAAUAAUCCUGUAGUCGAAAACAUAUUCUCUCUUGAGUGGAUCCUGAGUACGACGGAGCACGUGAAAUUCCGUCGGAAUCUAGGAGGACCAUCUCCUAAGGCUAAAUACUCUCUAGUGACCGAUAGUGAACCAGUACC